Molecule: ribosomal RNA, 506 nt
Filed under: uncultured bacterium
Lineage: Bacteria
Description: partial 16S ribosomal RNA
Rfam family: Bacterial small subunit ribosomal RNA
Source: RNAcentral
AGUGAACGCUGGCGGUAGGCCUAACACAUGCAAGUCGAACGGCAGCACAGGAGAGCUUGCUCUCUGAGUGGCGAAUGGCGGACGGGUGAGGAAUACAUCGGAAUCUACUCUGUCGUGGGGGAUAACGUAGGGAAACUUACGCUAAUACCGCAUACGACCUACGGGUGAAAGCAGGGGAUCUUCGGACCUUGCGCGAUUGAAUGAGCCGAGGUCGGAUUAGCUAGUUGGCGGGGUAAAGGCCCACCAAGGCGACGAUCCGUAGCUGGUCUGAGAGGAUGAUCAGCCACACUGGAACUGAGACACGGUCCAGACUCCUACGGGAGGCAGCAGUGGGGAAUAUUGGACAAUGGGCGCAAGCCUGAUCCAGCCAUACCGCGUGGGUGAAGAAGGCCUUCUGGUUGUAAAGCCCUUUUGUUGGGAAAGAAAUCCAGCUGGCUAAUACCCGGUUGGGAUGACGGUACCCAAAGAAUAAGCACCGGCUAACUUCGUGCCAGCCGCCGCGGUAA